GAUGGAGAACGUAGCGAAAUGCGAUACUUGGUGUGAAUUGCAGAAUCCCGUGAACCAUCGAGUCUUUGAACGCAAGUUGCGCCCGAAGCCACUAGGCCGAGGGCACGCCUGCCUGGGCGUCACACGCCGUUGCCCCCCCAUCUACUCCUUCGGGAUUGCGGGGGGGCGGAUGAUGGCCUCCCGUGCGCCUAGCCGCGCGGUUGGCAUAAAUACCAAGUCCUCGGCGACGCACGCCACGACAAUCGGUGGUUGCGAAACCUCGGUUGCCCGUCGUGUGCGUUCGUCGCGCAUCGAGGGCUCGAAAAAAUGCUCGGCUCCGGCUGGGCUUUCAACGCGACCCCAGGUCAGGCGGGGUUACCCGCUGAAUUUAAGCAUAUCAAUAAGCGGAGGA
This 391-nucleotide unclassified non-coding RNA is filed under the name soil metagenome. RNAcentral describes it as "partial contains 5.8S ribosomal RNA, internal transcribed spacer 2, and large subunit ribosomal RNA". The stretch from base 1 to 122 matches the Rfam family "5.8S ribosomal RNA", at positions 35 to 154 of the family's 154-position model. The record is from RNAcentral.